RNAcentral lists this ribosomal RNA (484 nucleotides) under uncultured bacterium. RNAcentral's name for it is "partial 16S ribosomal RNA". It matches the Rfam family "Bacterial small subunit ribosomal RNA", at positions 28 to 523 of the family's 1533-position model. The record is from RNAcentral.
GACGAACGCUGGCGGCGUGCUUAACACAUGCAAGUCGAACGAUGAUGCUGGAGCUUGCUCCAGUCGAUUAGUGGCGAACGGGUGAGUAACACGUGAGCAAUCUGCCCUUGACUCUGGGAUAACUGCGGGAAACUGUAGCUAAUACCGGAUACUUUCACCGGGGGGCAUCCUCUGGUGAUGAAAGGAUUUCGGUCAAGGAUGAGCUCGCGGCCUAUCAGCUUGUUGGUGAGGUAACGGCUCACCAAGGCGACGACGGGGAACCGGCCUGAGAGGGUGACCGGUCAGACUGGGACUGAGACACGGCCCAGACUCCUACGGGAGGCAGCAGUGGGGAAUAUUGCACAAUGGGCGCAAGCCUGAUGCAGCAACGCCGCGUGAGGGAUGAAGGCCUUCGGGUUGUAAACCUCUUUUAGCAGGGAAGAAGCGAAAGUGACGGUACCUGCAGAAAAAGCACCGGCUAACUACGUGCCAGCAGCCGCCGUAA